This is a small nuclear RNA of Heterocephalus glaber (naked mole-rat), 96 nucleotides long. The record is from Ensembl. NCBI's taxonomy places the organism in Eukaryota, Metazoa, Chordata, Mammalia, Rodentia, Bathyergidae.
GUGCUUGAUUCAGCAGCUCAUAUACUAAAAUUGGAAUGAUACAGAGACUAGUAUAGCCCCUGAGCAAGGAUGACACCAAAAUCCCUGUUCAUUUUU